Molecule: ribosomal RNA, 847 nt
Filed under: Hexanchus nakamurai (bigeye sixgill shark)
Lineage: Eukaryota; Metazoa; Chordata; Chondrichthyes; Hexanchiformes; Hexanchidae
Description: partial 16S ribosomal RNA
Rfam family: Bacterial large subunit ribosomal RNA (bases 184-847)
Source: RNAcentral
ACCUUAAAACUAGCUUAACCAAUAAUUAAACAUAACCUUAUUAAUUAAAUUCACACUCUUCCAAAAAUUAAAACAUUUUAUAACUUUUAGUAUAGGUGAUAGAACAAAGAACCAAGCGCAAUAGAUUUAAGUACCACAAGGGAAAGUUGAAAAAGAAAUGAAAUAAAUAACUAAAGUACAGAAAAGCAGAGAUUAAAACUCGUACCUUUUGCAUCAUGAUUUAGCUAGAUCAACUAGACAAAGAGACCUUAAGCCUAUCAUCCCGAAACUAGACGAGCUACUCCGGAGCAGCAUAAAAGAGCGAACCCAUCUCUGUGGCAAAAGAGUGGAAAGACCCCCGAGUAGCGGUGACAAACCUAUCGAGCCUAGUGAUAGCUGGUUACCCAAAAAAAGAACUUAAAUUCUGCAUUAAUUUUUUAAAUGUCAACUAAAAAUUUUCCCAAAGACUAAACAUAAAAAUUAAUAGUUAUUCAAAAAAGGUACAACUUUUCUGAACCAAGAUACAACUUUUCAAGGUGGGUAAUGAUUAUACUUAUCAAGGAUCCCUCCCUCAGUGGGCCUAAAAGCAGCCAUCUGUAAAGCAAGCGUCAUAGCUCCAGCCCAUAAUAAGCCUAUAAUUUAAAUAUUAAUUCCAAACCCCCUUAAUUAAUAUUGGGUUAUUUUAUAAAAUUAUAAAAGAACUUAUGCUAAAAUGAGUAAUAAGAGGCUAAACCUCUCCCAACACCAGUGUAUAUCAGAAAGAAUUAAAUCACUGAUAAUUAAACGACCUCAAACUGAGAAAAUUAUAGAAAUUUAAUAUCAAACUAGAAAACCCUAUUUAAUUACUCGUUAAUCCUACACAGGAGUG